RNAcentral lists this transfer RNA (75 nucleotides) under Hyphomonas sp. Its description in RNAcentral is "tRNA-Val". It matches the Rfam family "tRNA". Rfam says of the family: Transfer RNA (tRNA) molecules are approximately 80 nucleotides in length. Their secondary structure includes four short double-helical elements and three loops (D, anti-codon, and T loops). Further hydrogen bonds mediate the characteristic L-shaped molecular structure. tRNAs have two regions of fundamental functional importance: the anti-codon, which is responsible for specific mRNA codon recognition, and the 3' end, to which the tRNAs corresponding amino acid is attached (by aminoacyl-tRNA synthetases). tRNAs cope with the degeneracy of the genetic code in two manners: having more than one tRNA (with a specific anti-codon) for a particular amino acid; and 'wobble' base-pairing, i.e. permitting non-standard base-pairing at the 3rd anti-codon position. RNAcentral also lists the same sequence under 4 other names. The record is from RNAcentral. Lineage: Bacteria; Pseudomonadati; Pseudomonadota; Alphaproteobacteria; Hyphomonadales; Hyphomonadaceae.
GGUCGAUUAGCUCAGUGGUAGAGCACUGCAUUGACAUUGCAGGGGUCACUAGUUCGAACCUAGUAUCGACCACCA